This 373-nucleotide ribosomal RNA is filed under the name uncultured organism. Its description in RNAcentral is "partial 16S ribosomal RNA". It matches the Rfam family "Bacterial small subunit ribosomal RNA", at positions 527 to 896 of the family's 1533-position model. The record is from RNAcentral.
GUAGGUGGCAAGCGUUGUCCGGAAUUAUUGGGCGUAAAGCGCGCGCAGGUGGUUCUUUAAGUCUGAUGUGAAAGCCCCCGGGCUCAACCGGGGAGGGUCAUUGGAAACUGGGGAACUUGAGUGCAGGAGAGGAAAGUGGAAUUCCACGUGUAGCGGUGAAAUGCGUAGAUAUGUGUAGGAACACCAGUGGCGAAGGCGACUUUCUGGCCUGUAACUGACACUGAGGCGCGAAAGCGUGGGGAGCAAACAGGAUUAGAUACCCUGGUAGUCCACGCCGUAAACGAUGAGUGCUAAGUGUUGGGGGGUUUCCGCCCCUCAGUGCUGCAGCUAACGCAUUAAGCACUCCGCCUGGGGAGUACGGUCGCAAAGACUG